RNAcentral lists this long non-coding RNA (3537 nucleotides) under Sus scrofa (pig). Its description in RNAcentral is "lncRNA (ENSSSCG00000047575.2)". Lineage: Eukaryota; Metazoa; Chordata; Mammalia; Artiodactyla; Suidae. The record is from RNAcentral.
UCGGUGCCCAGCCCCCACCCAGGCGUCUCAAUUUUUGGUGACUGUGCCAGUAGUUCAUAUGAUCUGUUGGGUUCUCACUCUGCUUUUCAGAACUCCGACUUACUGCUACACUCUUCUCUGCAUCUGGAGAUUCCUCCGGUUCGGUUGAUCUUUUCGUCAAGUAGGUGACUUUCCAGGGUGUGGGAUCCCUUUCUCCUCCACAGUUCCCUUUCAGGAGCACCCGUCCAGCUCGGAUUCACCUUCUCUCACUCUCCUCUUUUCUCUUGUUUUACCUAGUAGUGUCACGAGAUUCUUGCCAUUAUUGGAGUUUAGGUUCCUCUGCCAGUGAUUGAUUGCUCUUCUGUGCAAGUCGUUUAUCCUGUAGAUGUGUUUUUUGUUGUGUUUGUGGGAGAGGGCGAGUGUGUCCCCCUACUCUUCCACCAUCUUGUCUCCUUCUCUAGUUUUAAAUUUUUUUUUCCCACUGUACAGCAAGGGGGUCAGGUUAUCCUUAGAUGUAUACAUUGCAGUUACAGUUUUUUCCCCCACCCUUUCUUCUGUUGCGAUAUGAGUAUCUAGACAUAGUUCUUAAUGCUAUUCAGCAGGAUCUCCUUAAAUUUUUUAAGUUAUAAUAACAAUUUAAAAAUAUUACAUAAACCUUUAAUUAUGUCAACAUAUGUUAAAUUGAAAACAUGCCCCAUAUGGUUAAAAAAAUCUUGAAACCAUUCUUCAUAGGAUUAACAGAAACAGAUCAUUAACGGACAUUCUUUUUUUUAAUUUUUAAAAAAUUUUCUUGAACUAUAGUUGAUUUGCAAUGUUGUGUUAAUUUCUACUAUUUAGGAAAGUGAUUCAGUUAAACAUAUACACAUAUCCAUUCCCAUAAAGUUAUCACAUAAUAUUGAGUAGAUUUCCCUGUGCUAUACAGUAGGUCUUCAUACAAAACAGCAGAUAAGGGAAUAGCUUGUUACAAACUCUUACCCUGUAACACAACAAAACUGCUGAAACUAAAUGGAAUUAAUGUCACUGAUAAGAGUUUGUGCUUACAAGAAACUUGCUUGUCUAGGUAGGGGACUUUUUGACAUUAGAGGGACAAAACUCCACCUUCAGGGCAUACUAAUACCACUAUUUUCGAAACAUGCAUUCCAUGAAGAAGUGUGUAAAUCAGAUAUGCCUGCAUAGAGAAGGGAUUACCUCACCUUUUUCCUGCCUCCAACCAACCUCCUCUGAAUCUCCAACCACCCUAUUCUCUUCAUCCAUAAGUAUUCCAAACCUCUUGCCUUUGGAGAGGUGAAUCUUAGACUUGUUCUCCCUCUUCUUUGUUGGCUGUCUUGUGAAUAAACCCUCUCUCUGCUGUAAAUCUUGGGGUCACAGUGUUUGGCUUGCUGCUUUUUGGGCCAUGGAACCUGGUUUCAUAUCAAAAUCUUUAAUAGUUUUGAAUAGAAACUGCCUACUUUAACUUUUAAUUAUUGCCACAAUUUAUAUCUUUUCCUGAAAUGUAAGACAAUAUUUUCCUGACUAUCCCUGAAUAUUUUCAUUAAACGAGCAAAAUUUGAUAGGUGAACAUUUUCAAUAUUUUCUUAACAUUAUGCCUUUAUUCAGUAAAUAUUAAUGCUGAACAUUGUUCUUAUGCUUACUUGAUAUGUGAUCUUGUUUUUCUCAUAAAUGAUUGUAGUUUCUUCUGUCAGUUUGUAUGAAAUGCAUAUUAAUGGAGGCAAUAAGGCUUAAUUUAAAAUAUCUGUUUCACUAAUUUUCCCCAACUAAUUGUUUGGAGACAUGAAGUUAAAAUGAAAUGGGAAAUACUCUACCCAAUAUAAUCUGUAUUUAUGAAUAAUCCAUGAACAUUCUGACCAAGUUAAAGGCAUUGAGUUCUUGGUAAAAUAUGUUAAAAUUUGUGUAAUGGCGUGACUUGUUAAAUGUCUCUUCAAUAUUUUCAAUAACUAAAAGUAUUGCCUUUAUACAGUCAUACACAUAUGUUCGUGAUAUAUAUAUGUCACUAUGUAUAUUCACACACAUACGAUUUUAGAAGUCAUUAAUUCUGUUUAUCUUCAUAAACUACCAGAACUUCAGUAGAAGACAUGGCAUUGCAAUCUGAAAAACUUCUAUGAAAGUAAGGUAUAAUAUUAUAAAAAUUAUUCAGUGAAGAAAAUCCAACAAAUCUAAACUAGAUAAUUAUAUAUGUUAUAUUGUAGCUAUAAUAAUGAAAGUUCAAAGGGGUGAAGUCAUGCUGUAGCAGACAUAACUAAAGUUUAGCUUGUUACUUUUUAUACUUGGCAAUUUAAAAAAAAAAACCUAAAGAAAACACCAUCAGUUUCAGUUUUAAUCUUUAUGUACCUCAGAGUACCAGAACACAAACCAAAAGAGGUAAAUUUAGGAAAUUUAUCUCUAUUAUUAGCAAAAGAUUUUUGAUAACCCUUUUCCUUCUUUGAAAGCUAUCUAACUAGAACCAUUACUCAUAGAAAAUUCUGGAAUCUAAUUUAAAUGCAAAAAAGUAGCUAUAGGUUUAAAAUAAUAAGGGCAUCCUGUAGAUAUAGGAAAAUAAUUUCCUCAUUUCAGUCAAUUCUAGAUUUAUGAAUCUAUGUUAAAAUAGAGAAUGCUUCUUAAGCAACAUCCCUUUAAAAAUUCUGAUAGAUUUUAAAACAUUAUUUUACAAUGUGUUUACUCUUUUAGCAUAUAGUAGACCCACCCUACAACAUGGUAGCAGCCAAUCUUUGAAGACCUGGCAACUAGAUAUCUUUUGGCCCCAACUGGGAACAAAUCAUAGCAAUAUGGAGAGUCAUUUGGUCACUCAGACCUAAAAUCUGGACUUCCAUUGGGCCAUAUUCUCAAAGGAAAUGAAUUUUUUAAAGGCCUGCAGAACUGCAGAAAAAGAGAUUUUGUUUGAAUUUGUGCUCUCUAUGGAGCAGAGCUUAGGAGAACAUGCACUAAAGGUCUGUAGAAUUAAUAACCAGAAGUCAUCAUUUACUGAAGGAAUGGAAGCCAAAUUCACACUUCCUGUGUUGCCUGAGAAAUUUCAAUUCAAAAAGUUAAAGUCUCAGCUUGCUAGAUCACACAGAGCCUGGGCAUAAGCAACCUAAACUCAAUACCCUUCUAUAUGAUUCACUUUAACAACAUAUCUCAAAUUAUUUUUAAAAUUAUGUUACAAGAAAAAUAAUAUUUACUAUUAAAAUCAUUAAAUGCUUAAGGAGAAAAAUAUCUGUCAUUAAUGAUGCCUCUCUCUUGAUCAGCAAAGUUUUUAUAAAUUGAGAUCAUGAGAAGGUAGUUGUUGAUAGUUAGGGUAGGAGUAGCGGUGGCAGGCAGAGCACUAAAAUCUAUGGGUGGGGAGGGCACCUCUGUGAAACAUAACAAAUAGGAUCAAAUAUUGCAAUAACAAGGACGAAUAUGGUUGAGUAUAUAGGACUGAGGAUUGGGCAUGAAAUGGAUCAAUGAAGUUAUAAUGCAGGAAGUUUAUGUGAAAUUCAGUUCUCAGUUAUCCUGGUCAAGCCAGCCUAAAACUAUAGCAAGCAAAAAGUUGAAUUAGCCAUGCCAGUGGAGUUUGAAAAAUUGACAAAAUAUCAAGAGAUU